UUGCGUUAGGGAUGGAGCGGCAUUCUUUUUAUUUUUUCUUUAAAAAUAAAAAGAUAUAGCGUACAGCCUCCCGAUAAAUA
This 80-nucleotide small RNA is filed under the name Flavobacterium defluvii. RNAcentral's name for it is "Flavo-1 RNA". The stretch from base 10 to 68 matches the Rfam family "Flavo-1 RNA", at positions 10 to 67 of the family's 76-position model. The record is from RNAcentral. Lineage: Bacteria; Pseudomonadati; Bacteroidota; Flavobacteriia; Flavobacteriales; Flavobacteriaceae.